GCGCGCUGUGUUUUCGCCGCUUAGUUCGCGUUAAAGCAAGAGGCAGCACGAAAGUCGAUUCGCUCGCUGUUGCCACCGCGCUUCCUCACUCCAGCAUUUAGACUGCGAGUUUCCGCGGUCAUCGAGUGAGUAAAUGCAGCCUUUCCAAGCAACCAAGGUGCAGAAACUUCCUUGUUGGACUAUCUGCAACAAGGAAGUUUCCAAAACUUCAUGCCAGCUAAAGCAGUCCAAUUUGGCUUCAAAGUCAGCUAUCAUGGCUGACACUGCUGACUCAUGGCAAGGUGCAACUUGCCUUGCAUCUUCCAACAAACACCUUAAGCCUGG
Dermacentor silvarum is the source of this 324-nucleotide long non-coding RNA. RefSeq lists it as uncharacterized. The record is from RefSeq and is a predicted model, not a curated record. The transcript is spliced from 3 exons. NCBI's taxonomy places the organism in Eukaryota, Metazoa, Arthropoda, Arachnida, Ixodida, Ixodidae.